Molecule: ribosomal RNA, 434 nt
Filed under: uncultured Anaerostipes sp.
Lineage: Bacteria; Bacillati; Bacillota; Clostridia; Lachnospirales; Lachnospiraceae
Description: partial 16S ribosomal RNA
Rfam family: Bacterial small subunit ribosomal RNA
Source: RNAcentral
ACGGAAGGCAGCAGUGGGGAAUAUUGCACAAUGGGGGAAACCCUGAUGCAGCGACGCCGCGUGAGUGAAGAAGUAUUUCGGUAUGUAAAGCUCUAUCAGCAGGGAAGAAAAUGACGGUACCUGACUAAGAAGCCCCGGCUAACUACGUGCCAGCAGCCGCGGUAAUACGUAGGGGGCAAGCGUUAUCCGGAAUUACUGGGUGUAAAGGGUGCGCAGGCGGCCUAACAAGUCAGCUGUGAAACCCGAGGGCUUAACCCUCGGCUUGCAGUUGAAACUGUAAGGCUAGAGUACAGGAGGGGAAAGCGGAAUUUCUAGUGUAGCGGUGAAAUGCGUAGAUAUUAGGAAGAACACCGGUGGCGAAGGCGGCUUUCUGGACUGUAACUGACGCUCAGGCACGAAAGCGUGGGGAGCAAACAGGAUUAGAUACCCUGGUA